CGGGGUGUGGCGCAGCCUGGCUAGCGCGCUUGUUUUGGGUACAAGAGGCCCCCGGUUCGAAUCCGGGCUCCCCGA
Molecule: transfer RNA, 75 nt
Filed under: Commensalibacter papalotli (ex Servin-Garciduenas et al. 2014)
Lineage: Bacteria; Pseudomonadati; Pseudomonadota; Alphaproteobacteria; Acetobacterales; Acetobacteraceae
Also listed under: 1 other name
Rfam family: tRNA
About the family: Transfer RNA (tRNA) molecules are approximately 80 nucleotides in length.
Source: Rfam by way of RNAcentral